This 460-nucleotide ribosomal RNA is filed under the name uncultured bacterium. RNAcentral's name for it is "partial 16S ribosomal RNA". It matches the Rfam family "Bacterial small subunit ribosomal RNA", at positions 338 to 795 of the family's 1533-position model. The record is from RNAcentral.
CCUACGGGAGGCAGCAGUGAGGAAUAUUGGUCAAUGGACGAGAGUCUGAACCAGCCAAGUAGCGUGAAGGAUGACUGCCCUAUGGGUUGUAAACUUCUUUUAUAUGGGAAUAAAAUGUUCCACGUGUGGGAUUUUGUAUGUACCAUAUGAACAAGGAUCGGCUAACUCCGUGCCAGCAGCCGCGGUAAUACGGAGGAUCCGAGCGUUAUCCGGAUUUAUUGGGUUUAAAGGGAGCGUAGGUGGAUUGUUAAGUCAGUUGUGAAAGUUUGCGGCUCAACCGUAAAAUUGCUGUUGAAACUGGCAGUCUUGAGUACAGUAGAGGUGGGCGGAAUUCGUGGUGUAGCGGUGAAAUGCUUAGAUAUCACGAAGAACUCCGAUUGCGAAGGCAGUUCACUGGACUGCAACUGACACUGAGGCUCGAAAGUGUGGGUAUCAAACAGGAUUAGAUACCCGAGUAGUC